UCCCAGACUCCUACGGGAGGCAGCAGUGGGGAAUAUUGGGCAAUGGGCGCAAGCCUGACCCAGCAACGCCGCGUGAAGGAAGAAGGCUUUCGGGUUGUAAACUUCUUUUCUCAGGGACGAAGCAAGUGACGGUACCUGAGGAAUAAGCCACGGCUAACUACGUGCCAGCAGCCGCGGUAAUACGUAGGUGGCAAGCGUUAUCCGGAUUUACUGGGUGUAAAGGGCGUGUAGGCGGGAAAGCAAGUCAGAUGUGAAAACCAUGGGCUCAACCUGUGGCCUGCAUUUGAAACUGGGUGUCUUGAGGGCAGGAGAGGAAAGUGGAAUUCCUAGUGUAGCGGUGAAAUGCGUAGAUAUUAGGAGGAACACCAGUGGCGAAGGCGACUUUCUGGACUGUACCUGACGCUGAGGCGCGAAAGCGUGGGUAGCGAACGGGAUUAGAUACCCGAGUACC
RNAcentral lists this ribosomal RNA (451 nucleotides) under uncultured bacterium. Its description in RNAcentral is "bacterial SSU rRNA". It matches the Rfam family "Bacterial small subunit ribosomal RNA", at positions 329 to 795 of the family's 1533-position model. The record is from RNAcentral.